UACAGAGGUCCCAAGCGUUGUUCGGAUUCACUGGGCGUAAAGGGUGCGUAGGUGGUGGGGUGAGUCUGAUGUGAAAUCUUCGAGCUUAACUCGGAAAUGGCAUUGGAUACUACUCUGCUAGAGGUUUGGAGGGGGGACUGGAAUUCUCGGUGUAGCAGUGAAAUGCGUAGAUAUCGAGAGGAACACCAGUGGCGAAGGCGAGUCCCUGGACAACACCUGACACUGAGGCACGAAAGCUAGGGGAGCAAACAGG
RNAcentral lists this ribosomal RNA (253 nucleotides) under uncultured bacterium. RNAcentral's name for it is "partial 16S ribosomal RNA". It matches the Rfam family "Bacterial small subunit ribosomal RNA", at positions 524 to 776 of the family's 1533-position model. The record is from RNAcentral.